Non-coding RNA from Picea glauca (white spruce), 117 nucleotides. The record is from Rfam. NCBI's taxonomy places the organism in Eukaryota, Viridiplantae, Streptophyta, Pinopsida, Pinales, Pinaceae.
AUGUAUAUUCCUACAACAUUAAUGCAUUGGAUCCCAUUAUAACUCUGCAAUUAGCACACUUUGGCUAGAGUUGUACUGAGAUGGGAGACCUCCUAAGAAGUCCUAGUGUUUUACAUG